This 290-nucleotide long non-coding RNA is filed under the name Brassica rapa (field mustard). RNAcentral describes it as "long non-coding RNA (BRAP_LNC004995)". The record is from RNAcentral. Lineage: Eukaryota; Viridiplantae; Streptophyta; Magnoliopsida; Brassicales; Brassicaceae.
CAUUGAAGGUGCUCUUAGUAACUGAUGGUAUGAAAAAUACACAGCAGAGUAGUUAUGGCAUUACAAAAAAGAGAGACUAACAAUUAACAACUUUGUCACCCUCCUUAACAACUUGAGCAUAUAUCACAAAGAUAACGAACAUGUCCCAAGACCCGAGCUCGAACAACAAAGUGUACAAUCAAAUUCCGAAAAUCCAAACCAGACAACUAUCGCAACACUUAAACCCACCUGUGUUACAAAAUCAAUAUAAUUCUAGUGAAAGAAACUAUCACGACUUUGGUAACUAACCG